RNAcentral lists this ribosomal RNA (254 nucleotides) under uncultured bacterium. Its description in RNAcentral is "partial 16S ribosomal RNA". It matches the Rfam family "Bacterial small subunit ribosomal RNA", at positions 524 to 777 of the family's 1533-position model. The record is from RNAcentral.
UACGGAGGGUGCGAGCGUUGUCCGGAAUCACUGGGCGUAAAGGGCGCGUAGGUGGCGCGACAAGUCAACGGUGAAAGCUCGGCGCUCAACGCCGAGUCGGCCGUCGAUACUGUUGGGCUUGAGCACUGUAGAGGCUAAUGGAAUUCCGGGUGUAGCGGUGGAAUGCGUAGAGAUCCGGAAGAACACCGGUGGCGAAGGCGGUUAGCUGGGCAGUUGCUGACACUGAGGCGCGACAGCGUGGGGAGCAAACAGGG